Non-coding RNA from Pseudocohnilembus persalinus, 72 nucleotides. NCBI's taxonomy places the organism in Eukaryota, Ciliophora, Oligohymenophorea, Philasterida, Pseudocohnilembidae. The record is from Rfam.
UCCCGAGUAGUAUAACGGUUAGAAUAUUUGCCUUUCACGCAAGAGAUCGGGGUUCGAUUCCCCGCUCGGGAG